UACAGAGGGUGCGAGCGUUGUCCGGAAUUACUGGGCGUAAAGGGCGCGUAGGCGGCCUGCUAAGUCGAACGUGAAAUCCCUGGGCUCAACCCAGGAACUGCGUCCGAUACUGACAGGCUUGAAUCCGGGAGAGGGAUGCGGAAUUCCAGGUGUAGCGGUGAAAUGCGUAGAUAUCUGGAGGAACACCGGUGGCGAAGGCGGCAUCCUGGACCGGCAUUGACGCUGAGGCGCGAAAGCGUGGGGAGCAAACAGG
RNAcentral lists this ribosomal RNA (253 nucleotides) under uncultured bacterium. RNAcentral's name for it is "partial 16S ribosomal RNA". It matches the Rfam family "Bacterial small subunit ribosomal RNA", at positions 524 to 776 of the family's 1533-position model. The record is from RNAcentral.